Molecule: unclassified non-coding RNA, 334 nt
Filed under: Hevea brasiliensis (rubber tree)
Lineage: Eukaryota; Viridiplantae; Streptophyta; Magnoliopsida; Malpighiales; Euphorbiaceae
Source: RNAcentral
UUAUCAAUGAAAUUAUAAAUAAUGGUGAUAAUUAUCUCCUUUCUUUUUAAAUGAUUUGAAAUAGUGAAUAGAAAUUUUAUACCUUUAUAUUUAGAGAAUUAGUUCAAAAUGAUAAAUACUAAAUGGUUAUAUUGCCCAUGUUAAAAGCAUAAAAUACCAAAUAUUUUUAGCAACUACAACUAUUUAACUAGCUUACUCCUAAUUCCUUAAUCAUAUUUUUUAAUGAAUGAAGUAACUUUAUCUUCUAGCGAAUCCCUUAAUGAAGUUAGAAAAUUAUAUCAAACACUUAACUUUUUUGUUGCAAAAUUCAGAUCUAAAGCCUUUUGUUACUAUU